Molecule: long non-coding RNA, 538 nt
Filed under: Helianthus annuus (common sunflower)
Lineage: Eukaryota; Viridiplantae; Streptophyta; Magnoliopsida; Asterales; Asteraceae
Source: RNAcentral
UUUCCAAUUCCUGCUCUCAAACCCUACUGUCCGAAUACACAUCUUCCCUUUCACGUUUCCUGCCGAUCAAUUGAUUUAUCAAUCCUAUAAUAGUAUAAUAUACUAAUCUCAUCAAUGUAAGUUUCUCUCUAUUACUUGCUCUCUACACCCUCUUCGAUCGCUGCUUUGGUUUUCCCUGGUAUGUAACACUUUGACAAUUGUUUUAUGGUUUAAUUUGGGGGUUUUAGGGUUUUGUUACUUUAGGUUUAUGUUUUGAUUUGGUGCUUUAAUUUGCGUUGUUUUUUUUAAAUUGGUUGUUUAGGGUUAUGUUCUUGCUUUUUUGUUAUCGAGUGUUUGAUUCUUAUAUGUUGUGCCGGGUUCAAGACAUUUUGAUUAUGGGGUAUGCAUCUUGUUGGUAUUUUAUUUAUUGACGUAUGUAUAUGAUCAGAUAGUUAAAAUGUUGGUUCAAACAAUACUAUAUUUGUAUUCAUACUUGAGGUAGUGUUGCAAUGUUGUUGUAGUUUUAGAUGUCAAGAAAAUGAGUAAUUUGUUGUAUUAA